AUAAAACUCACACCAACACCAGCACCACCCCAGCGUCAUCCCAUUCCCAUUGCAAUUUCAGGAUUUUGGCACCUUUCGUUCUGAGUUCGUCGCGACUGUGAGAUACUCCUGCAGCCCUACUCGCAAGCGAGCAGGCAGAAUGGAGCGCCGCGCCGUGACCGUGAACCCGGUCCUCGUCGUCCUUGUGCUCCUUGUGCUGUCCUGCCUCCUCGUCUACCCCCCUUCGCCACCUCCCCCACACCACCCGUACUCCUCCGUUGCCAUGCCAAGUGAGUCUCAGUAGCUACCAGCAGGCAAUUCCUUUAUCGAUCAGUAGCUGAUUACUUUGUCUGUGCAUGUGUUCGUGCGAUUGCAGGAAGUCUGCGCGUGGGGAGCCAGCAGCAGCACCCUACGGCUCUGAAGCUCACUUCUUCUCAGGUACCGUACUAAUUUGCUGUUUUGCUCUAAUCUCCCUCGUACCCUGCCUUCUUGCCUAUUACAGAACUGUUGGCGAAAGUAGCCGCUGUAAUUCUGAUGAUGACUUUUGUGUUCCAAAACAGGAGAUGGCGACGGCGGCGAUAAACUUUGAGGUAGAUGACUACCCACCGCCUGACCAUAAGUCCAUAACCACCACCAUGGCCCGGGCCAAUGAAGAGCUUGAAUGAAGCUGGACCCAAUAAUCGUUCGUCUUUACCAGUGUAGUACUACAAAGUGCUUUGUUAGUGCUCCUGUAUCAUAGAAUAAUUAAAAAAUACUAAUGGUCCCUAACUCCCUAUAUUUGGGAGAGGUUGCCAGUCAGAUCUCAAUUUUUUUUAUUUCUCGG
This 802-nucleotide long non-coding RNA is filed under the name Sorghum bicolor (sorghum). RNAcentral's name for it is "long non-coding RNA (SBIC_LNC016875)". The record is from RNAcentral. Lineage: Eukaryota; Viridiplantae; Streptophyta; Magnoliopsida; Poales; Poaceae.